Molecule: long non-coding RNA, 307 nt
Filed under: Homo sapiens (human)
Lineage: Eukaryota; Metazoa; Chordata; Mammalia; Primates; Hominidae
Description: HSALNT0119084
Source: RNAcentral
UUCAUAGUUUCUCUUUUAGAAUGUGAUCACAGAGACUUCCUGAGGUCCUGAAACACCCGUGUCCUAUAGCAGUGCUGCUCACACUUGCCUAAUGAGAACAAUUGCCAAGAUGCUACUGUUUCAGAAGAUGAUGCCAUGAUCAUGAAUGCACUAGAGCAAUCUGCAGGGAAUGUUUUAUGGUGAUACUUGCAUCUGUGAAGCAUUUGUCCUCCAAAAAGAAAGCAUGUACUUUAAAGGUUAAAUUCUCGUGCCCUGUCCAAUGUACAUUACAGAAUAUCCUCAAAAACCUACGGGUAAUAAUCUUUAU